CCUGGGUCAAUUGGGGUUGAAGGUGGGCUCACAGUGAUUGGGGGGCUACCACCUCCGUAAGUUGGUGGUGAGUUGUAGUACCCACCAUCUCCUGAGGGAGGAUUUGAUGGUGUUGAAGGGGUUGACGGGGUCGUUGGGAUUGAGGGUGUUGGAGUAGAGGGCUCUUGUGGUGGAGUUCCACAAUUGCUACCAUCAGGUGGCGAUGGGGUUGGAUUGUAACUUCCACCACCCUCAGGUGGUGAUGGAGUUGGAUCAUAGCUUCCACCACCUGGGGGAGUUGAUGGGGUUGGAUUGUAACUUCCACCACCCUCAGGUGGUGAUGGAGUUGGAUCAUAGGUAGGUGGUGAUGGAGUUGGAUCAUAGCUUCCACCACCUGGGGGAGUUGAUGGGGUUGGGUCAUAGCUUCCACCACCAGGGGGAGUUGAUGGAGUUGGAUUGUAACUUCCACCACUAGGGGGAGUUGAUGGGGUUGGAUUGUAACUUCCACCACCAUCUGAGGGUGGUGAUGGAGUGGGGUCAUAGCUUCCACCACCACCUGGGGGAGUUGAUGGGGUUGGAUUGUAACUUCCACCACCUGGGGGAGUGCAUGGGGUUGGAUUGGAACUUCCUCCACCUCCAUGUGACGGGGAUCCGUGAUGUGAUGGGGAUCCGUGAUGUGAUGGGGAUCCA
Molecule: long non-coding RNA, 669 nt
Filed under: Phaseolus vulgaris (common bean)
Lineage: Eukaryota; Viridiplantae; Streptophyta; Magnoliopsida; Fabales; Fabaceae
Description: long non-coding RNA (PVUL_LNC001821)
Source: RNAcentral